AAAGGUUCUCUCAGUACGGUCGGAAAUCGUACGUAGAGUGUAAAGGCAAAAGAGAGCUUGAUUGCAAGACAUACAGGUCGAGCAAGGAUGAAAAUCGGACUUAGUGAUCCGGUGGUUCUGCGUGGAAGGGCCAUCGCUCAACGGAUAAAAGCUACCCUGGGGAUAACAGGCUUAUCUCCCCCAAGAGUCCACAUCGACGGGGAGGUUUGGCACCUCGAUGUCGGCUCAUCACAUCCUGGGGCUGUAGUAGGUCCCAAGGGUUGGGCUGUUCGCCCAUUAAAGUGGUACGCGAGCUGGGUUCAGAACGUCGUGAGACAGUUCGGUCCCUAUCCGUCGCAGGCGUAGGAAAUUUGAGAAGACCUGUCCUUAGUACGAGAGGACCGGGAUGGACGUACCUCUGGUGUACCAGUUGUCCUGCCAAGGGCAUGGCUGGGUAGCUAUGUACGGAAUGGAUAAGCGCUGAAAGCAUCUAAGCGCGAAGCCAACUUCAAGAUAAGAUUUCCCACCGCAAGGGUAAGACCCCAGAAAGACUAUCUGGUUGAUAGGUCGAAGGUGUAAGUGCAGUAAUGUAUUUAGCUUAUCGAUACUAAUAGGUCGAGGACUUGACCAAUAUU
This 614-nucleotide ribosomal RNA is filed under the name Clostridioides difficile. Its description in RNAcentral is "partial 23S ribosomal RNA". It matches the Rfam family "Bacterial large subunit ribosomal RNA", at positions 2312 to 2925 of the family's 2925-position model. Lineage: Bacteria; Bacillati; Bacillota; Clostridia; Peptostreptococcales; Peptostreptococcaceae. The record is from RNAcentral.